AAGGUCAUCUCCAUUGGUAA
This 20-nucleotide small nuclear RNA is filed under the name Arabidopsis thaliana (thale cress). RNAcentral's name for it is "snRNA_08807". The record is from RNAcentral. Lineage: Eukaryota; Viridiplantae; Streptophyta; Magnoliopsida; Brassicales; Brassicaceae.